AACCUCUUCCUCUCCCUGUUCUCUCUAUCUUGAGUUUUUAUUCUGCAACAAAAAUCAUCGAGCCAUAACUUUGGUGUGCUAUUCAAUCUCUCUAAUCCAGUUACCAAAAAUAUGGUUCUUCCCUCUAUUAAUUGAGCCAUAUUCCGAUUUUCUAUUUGAUCAGUUUUGAGUAUAACGGCUCGAAUUGAUUUGGUGUUAGGUUUGAUUUGGGGGUUUCUGAAUUGAAGUAUGAACUAAAAAGGAUUUAGGGUUUAUUCGACUGAGAAGACAAAAAGGAAAGAAGACUGUUGAUGGUGUUAUGGGUCUGUAAUUUAGGUUCAAUUUAAAGUUAUGGCUAAGGGGGAUUGAAACUGAGAUGCUGAAAACCUAAAACCACUUCCGCCGUCUCUUUUCUCCAUACCCUAAUUCCAUUAUCUUCUUCUCUCUAUUCUGCAUAUGCAUUAGUAAUACUUUCUUUGAUUUUGACUUUCAGAAUUUCCUCAUUGGUAUUUUUUCUUAGGUGUACCACUAAUUUUACACAGGUACUUGCACUGUAACAUAAAUAAUGAAGUGAAAGGGGGAGAGUCCCAAUUUGCAUAAAUUUCUUAGUAUUAACUUUGAAGGAAGGCCCUUUUCACUUCUCCAGAUUAAUUAUUGAUUGCAGCAAUGGGACAUGCCUAUUUGGAUUGUUGAACUCUUUAGCAUUGGAGUUGUUUGAGGCACAUAAUGCUUUUGAUAUCCCUGAUGCGACUUCAUAUACAAUGGGUCUUCAGGUGUAGCCUCUUAAGUUGUUAUUUGAAGGUCUCUUGAUCUUUUUAGUUGACAUCUUGGUAUUGGUGGAGAAAUUGCACAAGAUUUUCUAGCUCUAUGCAUAGUCAAGACUUUAGAAACUUGCUCACCAACAUCAUUGCAAUUGAUGGAAACACUUCUUAUCAUUAGCUUACUGCAUGCUGGAACUGGUGAACGGGCAUUGAUGCGGCUCCACUAAUUGCUGACAUUUUGAAUUCCUUGGGUGUACUGCCUUAUGGCACCCUUGUGCUGAUGCGUUGAUUGCGAAAUGUAGUUUUUUUAGCCUCUGAAUGGCUUCAUGUGAGAAGUACCUCUGAAUGGUGUUGAGACGCACAUGGAAUAAGGGCAUUUGGUGCUGUUGGUUUGGUGAUUGAAGUAGUAAGAAAAAGUUGGAAUUGUUUGAACUGCUACUGAGUUUAUGAUGAGUUGGUGGUGCUGAGUUGAAUUGCAGCAAGGAGGUGAUGGUUGUUUAUAGUGAAGGUUGAAAUGAUUGCAGGUGGUUUGCAAUUGCAGCAAUGAUUACAGGUGGUUUGUGCUGUAAAAGCUGGCUGCAGAUAGUUGAGUUGCAGUUGAUAGUGGUAUUGUGCUUAGAGCUGAAAUGCAGAAAAGGUUGGAUGUAUGUUGGACUGUGUUUGAAUGGAGUUGCAAGUAAAUGAGCACGGCAAGUGAUUGAAGCUGCAGUUUAGGUUGUAGUGGGUAUGUGGUGUUUGAGUUUGCAACGGAAGGAAGGGAAUGCAUUGAAAUGAGUUAUGAUAUAACUAAUGCAUAAAAGGAAAGAAGAGAAUGGCUGGUAUGGUGGAGCUAUUGUGUGCAGCUACCAUGGGACGGGGCGAGGCGAGGCGAAGCAGAGCUACACCAAAUCAAAAAUUCUAAGCAUGCAUCAGGACAGGGCAAGGCAAAGUGGUUUGCAGGUCCGUCCGGUGCGCAGCACGGUCACAAAAUCUAGUUUCAAUUAUAAAGAUAAACAAUAUAAUACGGAAAUAUAAAUAACACAGACACCAGAAUCUUGUUAACGAGGAAA
Molecule: long non-coding RNA, 1789 nt
Organism: Papaver somniferum (opium poppy)
Lineage: Eukaryota; Viridiplantae; Streptophyta; Magnoliopsida; Ranunculales; Papaveraceae
Exons: 4
Source: RefSeq, a predicted model, not a curated record